This 252-nucleotide ribosomal RNA is filed under the name Lactobacillus helveticus. RNAcentral's name for it is "partial 23S ribosomal RNA". It matches the Rfam family "Bacterial large subunit ribosomal RNA", at positions 1247 to 1498 of the family's 2925-position model. The record is from RNAcentral. Lineage: Bacteria; Bacillati; Bacillota; Bacilli; Lactobacillales; Lactobacillaceae.
GCGGCGAAGGUUAACCGAGAGGAUAAUUGGAGCGCUUAGAAGUGAGAAUGCCGGUAUGAGUAGCGAAAGAUAGGUGAGAAUCCUAUCCGCCGAAAGACUAAGGUUUCCUGGGGCAGGCUCGUCCGCCAGGGUAAGUCGGGACCUAAGGCAAGGCCGAGAGGCGUAGUCGAUGGAUAACAGGUAGAGAUUCCUGUACUGUGUUCAAUCGUUAAGAGCGAAGGAGGGACGCAGGAGGUGAAGCACGCAUCGCGA